AAAAAGGCAAACCCUGGGUUUUCGUGUCCAACUUUAACGGUCCGUCUUAUAUGAAAUUUUUUUAUAAUUCAUAUUUUCAUUAUUGUUAGAUGAUAAAACAUGAUUAAUAUUUUAUGCGUGACUUGUCUUUUUUAUUUUUUUCAUAAUUUUUUCAAAUAAGAUGGACGGUCAAACGUUGGACACGGAAACCAGGGUU
MicroRNA precursor from Oryza sativa Japonica Group (Japanese rice), 196 nucleotides. It matches the Rfam family "MIR812 microRNA precursor family". The record is from Rfam. NCBI's taxonomy places the organism in Eukaryota, Viridiplantae, Streptophyta, Magnoliopsida, Poales, Poaceae.